Molecule: ribosomal RNA, 484 nt
Filed under: uncultured bacterium
Lineage: Bacteria
Description: partial 16S ribosomal RNA
Rfam family: Bacterial small subunit ribosomal RNA
Source: RNAcentral
GACGAACGCUGGCGGCGUGCUUAACACAUGCAAGUCGAACGAUGAAGCCGGAGCUUGCUCUGGUGAAUUAGUGGCGAACGGGUGAGUAACACGUGAGUAACCUGCCCUUGACUCUGGGAUAACUGCGGGAAACUGUAGCUAAUACCGGAUACGACCCUCGGCGGCAUCGCCAGGGGGUGGAAAGAAUUUCGGUCAAGGAUGGACUCGCGGCCUAUCAGCUAGUUGGUGAGGUAACGGCUCACCAAGGCGACGACGGGUAGCCGGCCUGAGAGGGUGACCGGCCGCACUGGGACUGAGACACGGCCCAGACUCCUACGGGAGGCAGCAGUGGGGAAUAUUGCACAAUGGGCGCAAGCCUGAUGUAGCAACGCCGCGUGAGGGAUGACGGCCUUCGGGUUGUAAACCUCUUUUAGUAGGGAAGAAGCGAAAGUGACGGUACCUGCAGAAAAAGCACCGGCUAACUACGUGCCAGCCGCCGCGGUAA